GACGAACGCUGGCGGCGUGCUUAACACAUGCAAGUCGAACGGAAAGGCCCUGCUUUUGUGGGGUGCUCGAGUGGCGAACGGGUGAGUAACACGUGAGUAACCUGCCCUUGACUUUGGGAUAACUUCAGGAAACUGGGGCUAAUACCGGAUAGGAGCUCCUGCUGCAUGGUGGGGGUUGGAAAGUUUCGGCGGUUGGGGAUGGACUCGCGGCUUAUCAGCUUGUUGGUGGGGUAGUGGCUUACCAAGGCUUUGACGGGUAGCCGGCCUGAGAGGGUGACCGGCGACAUUGGGACUGAGAUACGGCCCAGACUCCUACGGGAGGCAGCGGUGGGGAAUAUUGCACAAUGGGCGGAAGCCUGAUGCAGCAACGCCGCGUGCGGGAUGACGGCCUUCGGGUUGUAAACCGCUUUCGCCUGUGACGAAGCGUGAGUGACGGUAAAGGGUAAAGAAGCACCGGCUAACUACGUG
This 468-nucleotide ribosomal RNA is filed under the name uncultured bacterium. Its description in RNAcentral is "partial 16S ribosomal RNA". It matches the Rfam family "Bacterial small subunit ribosomal RNA", at positions 28 to 507 of the family's 1533-position model. The record is from RNAcentral.